GCGGAUAUGGCGGAAUUGGCAGACGCGCUAGAUUUAGGUUCUAGUGGGAAUACCCGUGCAGGUUCAACUCCUGUUAUCCGCACCA
This 85-nucleotide transfer RNA is filed under the name Lachnospiraceae bacterium. RNAcentral describes it as "tRNA-Leu". It matches the Rfam family "tRNA". From Rfam's summary of the family: Transfer RNA (tRNA) molecules are approximately 80 nucleotides in length. Their secondary structure includes four short double-helical elements and three loops (D, anti-codon, and T loops). Further hydrogen bonds mediate the characteristic L-shaped molecular structure. tRNAs have two regions of fundamental functional importance: the anti-codon, which is responsible for specific mRNA codon recognition, and the 3' end, to which the tRNAs corresponding amino acid is attached (by aminoacyl-tRNA synthetases). tRNAs cope with the degeneracy of the genetic code in two manners: having more than one tRNA (with a specific anti-codon) for a particular amino acid; and 'wobble' base-pairing, i.e. permitting non-standard base-pairing at the 3rd anti-codon position. Lineage: Bacteria; Bacillati; Bacillota; Clostridia; Lachnospirales; Lachnospiraceae. RNAcentral also lists the same sequence under 2 other names. The record is from RNAcentral.